UUGACCUCAAAUCAGGUAGGACUACCCGCUGAACUUAAGCAUAUCAAUAAGCGGAGGAAAAGAAACUAACAAGGAUUCCCCUAGUAACUGCGAGUGAAGCGGGAAAAGCUCAAAUUUAAAAUCUGGCGGUCUUGCGGCCGUCCGAGUUGUAAUCUGGAGAAGCGUCUACCCGCGUCGGACCGUGUACAAGUUUUCUGGAAGGGAGCGUCAUAGAGGGUGAGAAUCCCGUCUUUGACACGGACUACCGA
RNAcentral lists this ribosomal RNA (248 nucleotides) under uncultured Piloderma. RNAcentral describes it as "partial 28S ribosomal RNA". It matches the Rfam family "Eukaryotic large subunit ribosomal RNA", at positions 1 to 239 of the family's 3401-position model. Lineage: Eukaryota; Fungi; Basidiomycota; Agaricomycetes; Atheliales; Atheliaceae. The record is from RNAcentral.